This 253-nucleotide ribosomal RNA is filed under the name uncultured bacterium. Its description in RNAcentral is "partial 16S ribosomal RNA". It matches the Rfam family "Bacterial small subunit ribosomal RNA", at positions 524 to 776 of the family's 1533-position model. The record is from RNAcentral.
UACGUAGGGGGCAAGCGUUGUCCGGAUUUAUUGGGCCUAAAGCAUCCGUAGCCGGCCUUACAAGUCCUCCGUUAAAUCCAGCUGCUUAACGGAUGGGCUGCGGAGGAUACUAUAAGACUAGGAGGCAGGAGAGGCAAGCGGUACUCAGUGGGUAGGGGUAAAAUCCGUUGAUCCAUUGAAGACCACCAGUGGCGAAGGCGGCUUGCCAGAAUGCGCUCGACGGUGAGGGAUGAAAGCUGGGGGAGCAAACCGG